RNAcentral lists this ribosomal RNA (497 nucleotides) under uncultured bacterium. RNAcentral describes it as "partial 16S ribosomal RNA". It matches the Rfam family "Bacterial small subunit ribosomal RNA", at positions 28 to 507 of the family's 1533-position model. The record is from RNAcentral.
GAUGAACGCUGGCGGCGUGCCUAAUACAUGCAAGUCGAGCGAACAGACGAGGAGCUUGCUCCUCUGACGUUAGCGGCGGACGGGUGAGUAACACGUGGAUAACCUCCCUAUAAGACUGGGAUAACUUCGGGAAACCGGAGCUAAUACCGGAUAAUAUAUUGAACCGCAUGGUUCAAUAGUGAAAGCCGGUUUUGCUGUCACUUAUAGAUGGAUCCGCGCCGCAUUAGCUAGUUGGUAAGGUAACAGCUUACCAAGGCAACGAUGAGUAGCCGACCUGAGAGGGUGAUCGGCCACACUGGAACUGAGACACGGUCCAGACUCCUACGGGAGGCAGCAGUAGGGAAUCUUGCGCAAUGGGCGAAAGCCUGACGCAGCAACGCCGCGUGAGUGAUGAAGGUCUUCGGAUCGUAAAACUCUGUUAUUAGGGAAGAACAACUGUGUAAGUAACUAUGCACGUCUUGACGGUACCUGAUCAGAAAGCCACGGCUAACUACGUG